This 422-nucleotide ribosomal RNA is filed under the name uncultured Chryseobacterium sp. RNAcentral's name for it is "bacterial SSU rRNA". It matches the Rfam family "Bacterial small subunit ribosomal RNA", at positions 355 to 774 of the family's 1533-position model. Lineage: Bacteria; Pseudomonadati; Bacteroidota; Flavobacteriia; Flavobacteriales; Weeksellaceae. The record is from RNAcentral.
UGAGGAAUAUUGGACAAUGGGUGAAAGCCUGAUCCAGCCAUCCCGCGUGAAGGAUGACGGUCCUAUGGAUUGUAAACUUCUUUUGUACAGGGAUAAACCUACUCUCGUGAGGGUAGCUGAAGGUACUGUACGAAUAAGCACCGGCUAACUCCGUGCCAGCAGCCGCGGUAAUACGGAGGGUGCAAGCGUUAUCCGGAUUUAUUGGGUUUAAAGGGUCCGUAGGCGGACCUGUAAGUCAGUGGUGAAAUCUCAUAGCUUAACUAUGAAACUGCCAUUGAUACUGCAGGUCUUGAGUAAAUUUGAAGUGGCUGGAAUAAGUAGUGUAGCGGUGAAAUGCAUAGAUAUUACUUAGAACACCAAUUGCGAAGGCAGGUCACUAAGAUUUAACUGACGCUGAUGGACGAAAGCGUGGGUAGCGAACA